AGGACGAACGCUGGCGGCGUGCCUAACACAUGCAAGUCGAACGCGCUCCAUUCGGUAGCAAUACUGAUGAAGAGCGAGUGGCGAACGGGUGAGUAGCACGUGAGCAACCUGCCCCGAAGACCGGGACAACACCGGGAAACCGGUGCUAAUACCGGAUAUCCCUAUCGGACCGCAUGAUCUGAUAAGGAAAUGGAUUCCGCUUCGGGAGGGGCUCGCGGCCUAUCAGCUAGUUGGUGAGGUAACGGCCCACCAAGGCAUCGACGGGUAGCUGGUCUGAGAGGACGAUUAGCCACACUGGGACUGAGACACGGCCCAGACUCCUACGGGAGGCAGCAGUGGGGAAUCUUGCGCAAUGGGCGAAAGCCUGACGCAGCAACGCCGCGUGGAGGACGAAGGCUUUCUGAGUUGUAAACUCCUUUCAGCAGGGACGAUAGUGACGGUACCUGCAGAGAGCACCGGCCACUACGUGCCAGCAGCCG
Molecule: ribosomal RNA, 479 nt
Filed under: uncultured bacterium
Lineage: Bacteria
Description: SSU rRNA
Rfam family: Bacterial small subunit ribosomal RNA
Source: RNAcentral